RNAcentral lists this ribosomal RNA (486 nucleotides) under uncultured bacterium. RNAcentral's name for it is "partial 16S ribosomal RNA". It matches the Rfam family "Bacterial small subunit ribosomal RNA", at positions 29 to 507 of the family's 1533-position model. The record is from RNAcentral.
AUUGAACGCUGGCGGCAUGCCUUACACAUGCAAGUCGAACGGCAGCACGGGUGCUUGCUCCUGGUGGCGAGUGGCGAACGGGUGAGUAAUACAUCGGAACAUGUCCUGUAGUGGGGGAUAGACCGGCGAAAGCCGGAUUAAUACCGCAUACGAUCCACGGAUGAAAGCGGGGGAGCUUCGGGCCUCGCGCUAUAGGGUUGGGCGACGGCUGAUUAGCUAGUUGGGGGGGUAAAGGCCUACCAAGGCGACGAGCAGUAGCUGGUCUGAGAGGACGGGCAGCCACACUGGAACUGAGACACGGCCCAGACUCCUACGGGAGGCAGCAGUGGGGAAUUUUGGGCAAUGGGCGAAAGCCUGAUCCAGCAAUGCCGCGUGUGUGAAGAAGGCCUUCGGGUUGUAAAGCACUUUUGUCCGGAAAGAAAUCCUUGGCCCUAAUACGGUCGGGGGAUGACGGUACCGGAAGAAUAAGCACCGGCUAACUACGUG